Molecule: ribosomal RNA, 303 nt
Filed under: uncultured bacterium
Lineage: Bacteria
Description: partial 16S ribosomal RNA
Rfam family: Bacterial small subunit ribosomal RNA
Source: RNAcentral
AGCAGCAGCCGCGGGAAUACAGAGGGUGCGAGCGUUAAUCGGAUUUACUGGGCGUAAAGCGUGCGUAGGCGGCUUCUUAAGUCGGAUGUGAAAUCCCUGAGCUUAACUUAGGAAUUGCAUUCGAUACUGGGAAGCUAGAGUAUGGGAGAGGAUGGUAGAAUUCCAGGUGUAGCGGUGAAAUGCGUAGAGAUCUGGAGGAAUACCGAUGGCGAAGGCAGCCAUCUGGCCUAAUACUGACGCUGAGGUACGAAAGCAUGGGUAGCGAACAGGAUUAGAGACCCGAGUAGUCCCUGUCUCUUAUAC